CUCUAUAGUAAGCAUAUGAAAAAUACAUUUUUAAACUGGUGGUAGUGGGUAAGGAUUGAAAACCAAGAGCUAACAACAGUAAUAUGGAUAUACACACAGAAAAUAAACACAAAUGUCACAAUCAGGAUACUGUUCUGAACAAUGUCCACAUGAAUCCAAAUAAGAAGAAAAACCACAGGCCACAGGUAAACAACCGUCCAAAAAAAAUAAAUAAAAGUACAUGGGGCCGAUAUGCCCAGCCUUUACAUGUGACAAAAUGGAGAUCAGGUGUCAAAAUCAUAAGAGGUCAGUAAUGAGGAGCCAGGAAUAAAUGCAUGUUCAGCUGCUUGUCUUGCACUCGUUAGUCAGUGCCAUCUUAAUGAAACAGGAGAGAUCUGGGAUGGCUGCAGUGGCAUUUGAUAACCAUAAAAUGAGGGAAACUAUGGACAUAACAUGGACCACAAGGAUCUACAGCAGGGAAGAGGACAGGAAAUAUGGAUUGCAUAAUCAGAUGUCGUAAUGCAGCUCAAUGAGAAGUCUUGCAUGACUGUUGUGUUUGGGUCCACUGAGCUAAACAACCAGGAAGUACCAGGACAGGUGCCUGAUAUACAGCUAUGGGUAUGUGAAUAUUGUAAUCAUUUGUUGGACAUGGUUGAAGCUCAUUGAAUUUCUGCUCCAUCAUGGCCAAUCUGGUGUCAUGGGAGUGCACAAAAU
This is a non-coding RNA of Pelobates cultripes (western spadefoot toad), 693 nucleotides long. Lineage: Eukaryota; Metazoa; Chordata; Amphibia; Anura; Pelobatidae. The record is from the annotation of a GenBank genome assembly.